UGCACAGUGGUGUAGUGGUCAGCACUCUCCCCUUACAGUGAGAACAUGCUGGUUCAAAUCCCGUCUGUGUGG
This 72-nucleotide transfer RNA is filed under the name Oryzias latipes (Japanese medaka). It matches the Rfam family "tRNA". From Rfam's summary of the family: Transfer RNA (tRNA) molecules are approximately 80 nucleotides in length. Their secondary structure includes four short double-helical elements and three loops (D, anti-codon, and T loops). Lineage: Eukaryota; Metazoa; Chordata; Actinopteri; Beloniformes; Adrianichthyidae. The record is from Rfam by way of RNAcentral.